RNAcentral lists this ribosomal RNA (429 nucleotides) under Pseudomonadota bacterium. Its description in RNAcentral is "Proteobacteria bacterium partial 16S ribosomal RNA". It matches the Rfam family "Bacterial small subunit ribosomal RNA", at positions 355 to 776 of the family's 1533-position model. The record is from RNAcentral. Lineage: Bacteria; Pseudomonadati; Pseudomonadota.
UGGGGAAUAUUGGACAAUGGGCGAAAGCCUGAUCCAGCCAUGCCGCGUGUGUGAAGAAGGUCUUCGGAUUGUAAAGCACUUUAAGUUGGGAGGAAGGGCAGUAAGCGAAUACCUUGCUGUUUUGACGUUACCGACAGAAUAAGCACCGGCUAACUCUGUGCCAGCAGCCGCGGUAAUACAGAGGGUGCAAGCGUUAAUCGGAAUUACUGGUCGUAAAGCGCGCGUAGGUGGUUCGUUAAGUUGAAUGUGAAAGCCCCGGGCUCAACCUGGGAACUGCAUCCAAAACUGGCGAGAUAGAGUAGGGCAGAGAGUGGUGGAAUUUCCUGUGUAGCGGUGAAAUGCGUAGAUAUAGGAAGGAACACCAGUGGCGAAGGCGACCACCUGGGAUCAUACUGACACUGAGGUGCGAAAGCGUGGGGAGCAAACAGG